GAGAGUAUAGCUCAGUGGUAGAGCGCAUGCCUAGCAUGCACAAGAUCCUGGGUUCAAUCCCCAGUACCUCCA
Molecule: transfer RNA, 72 nt
Filed under: Camelus bactrianus (Bactrian camel)
Lineage: Eukaryota; Metazoa; Chordata; Mammalia; Artiodactyla; Camelidae
Also listed under: 3 other names
Rfam family: tRNA
About the family: Transfer RNA (tRNA) molecules are approximately 80 nucleotides in length. Their secondary structure includes four short double-helical elements and three loops (D, anti-codon, and T loops). Further hydrogen bonds mediate the characteristic L-shaped molecular structure. tRNAs have two regions of fundamental functional importance: the anti-codon, which is responsible for specific mRNA codon recognition, and the 3' end, to which the tRNAs corresponding amino acid is attached (by aminoacyl-tRNA synthetases). tRNAs cope with the degeneracy of the genetic code in two manners: having more than one tRNA (with a specific anti-codon) for a particular amino acid; and 'wobble' base-pairing, i.e. permitting non-standard base-pairing at the 3rd anti-codon position.
Source: Rfam by way of RNAcentral